This 818-nucleotide long non-coding RNA is filed under the name Nicotiana benthamiana. RNAcentral's name for it is "long non-coding RNA (NBEN_LNC035314)". Lineage: Eukaryota; Viridiplantae; Streptophyta; Magnoliopsida; Solanales; Solanaceae. The record is from RNAcentral.
UUCUUUUUACUUUAUCAUUGCACGUCUUUACCCGAUGGUCUUGCACAUCAAUAUAGCACUACACAAAUGGAUAAUUAAAUAUCAAGGACACAACAACGUGAUUAUGAAGUUAUAUGAGCACCAAAGAAAACGAAACAGAUCUAAAACAUUACUCCAGUUAACAAAGUUGAGAAAAGUUGCAAGUGAAACAAAAUGGAUCUUUUAUAUAAAUGAGAAUACAACGACGUAAGCUCGAACAAGCCAGAUCAGGCAUGGAGAACUUCGCCGGUGACUCCAAUCGGAGCCGAUGACUGAAGCUUGACGGACUUAACCUCAACUCAACCUCUCGUUACCCUUUAAUGUUGCUGUUUUUUAUUUAAAAAGAAGGGUUGUUUUGAGGCAUGUUUGGACUGAUUCUUAACAUGGAGUUUUCGGCUGGAAUAUUGGAGGUAUUUUGGAGCUGGUUUUUCUUGGUUUAAGUGGUGGAAACAGGGGUUGUUCGGGUGAGGUUUUGGAGUGGUUUUUCAGCUGGAAUUGGGGGGAGGGGGGGGGGGUUCCGGGCUGAUUUUGGACUGAUUUUGAGGCUAUUUUCGCAGCUAGUUUCUGCUGCGUUCUGGGACGCUUUUUGCGGUUGUUUAACCGGUGAAUUCGGACUAAUUUUCAGUUGGAGUUUUGGUCGGAGAUGAAGCUGAUUUUCUGAGGAGGGUGUUGAUAGACCUAGGAUUUCCACAUAGAUUCAUUGAAUGGAUAAUGGAAUUCAUAACAAUUGCGUCCUAUUCCUUAACUCUAAAUGAAGGGCUUACAAAGCCAUUUAGAGGUAAAGGGGAAAUAAGGCAGGG